AACGAACGCUGGCGGCAUGCCUAACACAUACAAGUCGAACGAGACCUUCGGGUCUAGUGGCGCACGGGUGCGUAACGCGUGGGAACCUGCCCUUAGGUUCGGAAUAACUCCCCGAAAGGGGUGCUAAUACCGGAUAAUGUCUUCGGACCAAAGAUUUAUCGCCUUUGGAUGGGCCCGCGUUGGAUUAGCUAGUUGGUAGGGUAAAAGCCUACCAAGGCGACGACCCAUAGCUGGUCUGAGAGGAUGAUCAGCCACACUGGGACUGAGACACGGCCCAGACUCCUACGGGAGGCAGCAGUGGGGAAUAUUGGACAAUGGGCGAAAGCCUGAUCCAGCAAUGCCGCGUGAGUGAUGAAGGCCUUAGGGUUGUAAAGCUCUUUUACCCGGGAUGAUAAUGACAGUACCGGGAGAAUAAGCUCCGGCUAACUCCGU
Molecule: ribosomal RNA, 432 nt
Filed under: uncultured bacterium
Lineage: Bacteria
Description: partial 16S ribosomal RNA
Rfam family: Bacterial small subunit ribosomal RNA
Source: RNAcentral